AUACAAUCUCGGGGAGAAAACUUCCAAUCCAGCGAAACACCAUCGCAUGCAGGUACUUUUGCCAGAACAUGAGCCGCCCGAUUAGCCGUUCUCCUGCGCCAAGUGAUCUUGCACCCGGUCCAGCCCUGCAUAAGUUCUUUGAUAUCUUCCACGAUAGGUCCCGCCACCGACAAAUUCCGGGGUGCAGAGUUGAUCAUGCUAACAGCUUCCUUACAGUCCAUCUCCACACGAAUCCUUUGGAUGCCAAGUUCCCGGCCAAAUUCCAAAGCUUUUCUGCAAGCCAACAAUUCUACGAUCUCCGGCUUUGUCUUGUUAGGGAAGAGCUGGGUGAGGGUACCCCGGAAAGCACCAGUGUGAUCCCGGACAAUCACCCCGCCGCCGCCGUUCCCUGUGGCAGAAGAGAUCGCGCCAUCCACAUUCACCUUGAUCCAGUCAGUCUCGGGUGGGUUCCAUCUUUCAGGGGGUGGUGUCCGCUCGGAUGACGCGGGAAGACCGGGAGGCGAGGGAGCGCCUCGAGGCCGAGGCCUACAUGGACGCCCUCCUCCGGUAGUACCCGGAGUAAGUGGAGGCGGGGCGGGUGAUCUUCACCGUCAAUGACGGCGAAGUUAUCGUCAUCUCCGACGAGGAGGGUGGCAACGCGAGCGGCGAGGUGAGCGGCAACGACAUCGAUGUUGAGGAGUGGCAGAGCGUCUUCCCCAAUGACGACGACAGCGAUGAAACCGGCGCGGACCCGUCUCUCAUCGAGGGUGGCUUCACCCGGAAGGAUUGGCUCAACC
This 776-nucleotide ribosomal RNA is filed under the name Triticum aestivum (bread wheat). RNAcentral describes it as "partial small subunit ribosomal RNA". The record is from RNAcentral. Lineage: Eukaryota; Viridiplantae; Streptophyta; Magnoliopsida; Poales; Poaceae.